AUACGUAGGUGCAAGCGUUGUCCGGAAUUACUGGGUGUAAAGGGCGUGUAGGCGGGGUCUUAAGUCCGUUGUGAAAUCUAUCGGCUCAACCGGUAGCUGCGGCGGAAACUGGGACUCUUGAGUGAAGUAGAGGCAGGCGGAAUUCCUAGUGUAGCGGUGAAAUGCGUAGAUAUUAGGAGGAACACCAGUGGCGAAGGCGGCCUGCUGGGCUUUUACUGACGCUGAGGCUCGAAAGUGUGGGGAGC
This 245-nucleotide ribosomal RNA is filed under the name uncultured bacterium. RNAcentral's name for it is "partial 16S ribosomal RNA". It matches the Rfam family "Bacterial small subunit ribosomal RNA", at positions 523 to 769 of the family's 1533-position model. The record is from RNAcentral.